GAAAGAAAAGAUUAUUUGGAAUUGUGAAGGCUGUAAAGAAAGUAGCUAAAGUAAUUAAGAAAGCAAUCAAGAAAGUGGUAAAGAAAGUAGUUAAUCGUAUCCUGCGUCAGACUCAGAAUUGGUGAAGUCACAAAAAAGAUUUAAAUGAAAUGGGUUAUGUUUAGCAGACAGAUAUUUUGAAUGAAGACCCGUGAUAUGCCCAGUUGUACAGAAUUGAAAAUCAGAAGAAACAAUGUCUACUAUGGAAAAAAAAUGUCUGUAACCAAAGAAAAGCAAUGCAUUUAGCUGGGUGAUAACCAGAUACAUUUUUGAUUUUCAAUUGACAAAUAGAAA
Long non-coding RNA from Protopterus annectens (West African lungfish), 333 nucleotides. RefSeq lists it as uncharacterized. The transcript is spliced from 5 exons. NCBI's taxonomy places the organism in Eukaryota, Metazoa, Chordata, Ceratodontiformes, Protopteridae. The record is from RefSeq and is a predicted model, not a curated record.